Molecule: ribosomal RNA, 485 nt
Filed under: uncultured bacterium
Lineage: Bacteria
Description: bacterial SSU rRNA
Rfam family: Bacterial small subunit ribosomal RNA
Source: RNAcentral
GAACGCUGGCGGCAGGCCUAACACAUGCAAGUCGAGCGGUAACAUUUCUAGCUUGCUAGAAGAUGACGAGCGGCGGACGGGUGAGUAACGCGUAGAAAUCUACCUAGUAGUGGGGGAUAGCCCAGAGAAAUUUGGAUUAAUACCGCAUACGCCCUACGGGGGAAAGCGGGGGAUCUUCGGACCUCGUGCUAUUAGAUGAGUCUGCGUCGGAUUAGCUUGUUGGUGAGGUAAUGGCUCACCAAGGCGACGAUCCGUAGCUGGUCUGAGAGGAUGACCAGCCACACUGGAACUGAGACACGGUCCAGACUCCUACGGGAGGCAGCAGUGGGGAAUAUUGCACAAUGGGCGCAAGCCUGAUGCAGCCAUGCCGCGUGUGUGAAGAAGGCCUUAGGGUUGUAAAGCACUUUCAACAGUGAGGAAAGGGGUGUCGUUAAUAGCGCCAUCCUGUGACGUUAACUGCAGAAGAGGGACCGGCUAACUCCGUG